Drosophila melanogaster (fruit fly) is the source of this 1028-nucleotide non-coding RNA. Lineage: Eukaryota; Metazoa; Arthropoda; Insecta; Diptera; Drosophilidae. The record is from Ensembl.
CAGAAAUUUUCAACUUGUAGUUCAACUUUGUUUAAGCAAUAAGGUAAAGACAGAGAACACAAUUAUUUUGGCAAGACCAGAGCCAAUUGCCAAAAGCGGACCGGAAUGCGACCCUAAACUCGUCAAUCGGGUGAAGAACUAUGUCAGGGCACGGACCGGCAUUUUAAUGACCUUCAACUUUGACAACAAGGCAUAAAUGGCCAACAAUUGGGGCGUUAACGGAAAUUGGCUUAAAAAGCUAUAAAAUGUACCCAGUAGCUUGGACCAGGAAGGAAGCACAUUUAUUGACCUUUUCCACAUUCCGUUUUCCUUACGGCGGGACAUGACCCGAGACCCAAGUCGGGAGACAUUACGACAUACAUUUUUACGUGUUCCCAGAAUAUCAGACAUAAUUAAUAAGGCUUGCCAAUUAAGAGGCCACGGCAAAUUUUCAAGUGCGAAAUUUUCACAUCUAUUCAUGUCAGCAAAUUAUCGCAUCAAGUGAGAAAGGUAAAAAUUCAACAGAAAUUGGCCAAGGACAUUGAAUGGUGCGGGAGGGGGCUAAGUGGCAGAGGACAUUUGCCCCUAAUAGAUGGCAAUCUUGGGCGUGUGUAUCGUGAUUGUUGGGCUUCUCGUCUCGCAGAUGAAGACGCAGUGCGCAUGUGACAUAAUUGAGGGCGACACGGCCGCCUCGUAUGAACGAACAGGUGAGCAGGAUACACCUGUCCGUCCGUCGGGCACGCAUCCUCCGUCCAAUAGAAGAUUAUAAUGUACGCGUUGCUUAAUUUGAAUGGUGCGUGCUGGGCCGCCUUUGAAAUGCUGUCAGAGACGCUAAAUGAAAUUAAAGACUGCUGCCCCCGCAACGUGCUUUCACCUCCCACUUUCACCUCCUGCGUCACAGAUAACAGAGGGCACUCAUGUUUUAAAAAUUAAGCGAAAAUAACGAUAUUAGCAUAAAUAAGCGUCGCUAAUAGGAUUUCCUUUGUAAUUAUCAAAUUGCCAGGCUAGCACACAAGCUACCAAAUAAAAAAAUGGAACAAGCAGUAAAU